CCCUUAGAUGUCCUGGGCCGCACGCGCGUUACACUGAUGCAUUCAACGAGCUUAUAACCUUGGCCGAGAGGCCUGGGCAAUCUUGUUAACGUGCAUCGUGAUAGGGAUAGAUUAUUGAAAUUAUUAAUCUUGAACGAGGAAUUCCUAGUAAACGCAGAUCAUCAAUCUGCAUUGAUUACGUCCCUGCCCUUUGUACACACCGCCCGUCGCACCUACCGAUUGGAUGGUCCGGUGAAGCCUCGGGAUUGUGGUUCUUGCCGCUUUAUUGUGGCGUGACCGGGAGAACUUGUCUAAACCUUAUCAUCUAGAGGAAGGUGAAGUCGUAACA
RNAcentral lists this ribosomal RNA (328 nucleotides) under uncultured eukaryote. Its description in RNAcentral is "partial 18S ribosomal RNA". It matches the Rfam family "Eukaryotic small subunit ribosomal RNA", at positions 1470 to 1796 of the family's 1831-position model. The record is from RNAcentral.